This 74-nucleotide transfer RNA is filed under the name bacterium. RNAcentral's name for it is "tRNA-Gln". It matches the Rfam family "tRNA". Rfam says of the family: Transfer RNA (tRNA) molecules are approximately 80 nucleotides in length. Their secondary structure includes four short double-helical elements and three loops (D, anti-codon, and T loops). Further hydrogen bonds mediate the characteristic L-shaped molecular structure. tRNAs have two regions of fundamental functional importance: the anti-codon, which is responsible for specific mRNA codon recognition, and the 3' end, to which the tRNAs corresponding amino acid is attached (by aminoacyl-tRNA synthetases). tRNAs cope with the degeneracy of the genetic code in two manners: having more than one tRNA (with a specific anti-codon) for a particular amino acid; and 'wobble' base-pairing, i.e. permitting non-standard base-pairing at the 3rd anti-codon position. The record is from RNAcentral.
UGCCGGAUGGUGUAACGGUAGCACGAAGGACUCUGAAUCCUUUAGUCUAGGUUCGAAUCCUAGUCCGGCAGCCA